UCAAUUGGUAAGGCGCUUGCCUAGCGUGC
This 29-nucleotide non-coding RNA is filed under the name Mus musculus (house mouse). The record is from RNAcentral. Lineage: Eukaryota; Metazoa; Chordata; Mammalia; Rodentia; Muridae.